GGCUCUUUGGUAAUGUAGAUAAAGAGUCGGACCUGCCCAGUGAAAAUUUUUAACGGCCGCGGUACUCUGACCGUGCAAAGGUAGCAUAAUCAUUUGCCUUAUAAUUGAAGGCUUGUAUGAAUGGUUUGACAAGAAUAUAGCUGUCUCUAUACGAUUUUGUAGAAUUUUAUUUUAAAGUGAAGAAGCUUGAAUAAAAUUGAUAGACAAGAAGACCCUAUCGAGCUUGAAAAAAGAUUAUGGAUGUUUUAAAAUAUAUCUAAAAAAUUAUCUGUGAUAAAUUUUGGUUGGGGCGACUUAGGAACAAAUUAAGCUUCCUAAAUUUACUUAAUACAGACAAAAUGAUCCAAAAAAUUUUGAUUAAUGAAAUUAGUUACCGUAGGGAUAACAGCAUUAUCUUCUUUAAGAGUUCUUAUCGAAAAGAGGGUUUGUGACCUCGAUGUUGGACCAGAAUAUCCUAAAGAUGCAGCAGUCUUUAAGGGUUGGUCUGUUCGACCAUUAAAAUUCUACGUGAUCUGAGUUCAGACCGGCGUGAGCCAGGUCAGUUUCUAUCUUUAAUUUAAAUUAUAAAUUUAGUACGAAAGGACCAAUUUAUUAUAAUUUGUUGUGCUGGAAGAUACAAUUUAAUGAAGGUUAUUAUCAAAUUAGCAAAAUGAAUGCAAUUGACUUAGGAUCAAUAGAUAUAGGUGAAAUUCCUUUAUUUGAUAAUAAAGAUGGCAGAUGAA
RNAcentral lists this ribosomal RNA (722 nucleotides) under Columbella sp. VR-2017. RNAcentral's name for it is "partial 16S ribosomal RNA". The stretch from base 1 to 577 matches the Rfam family "Bacterial large subunit ribosomal RNA", at positions 1817 to 2925 of the family's 2925-position model. Lineage: Eukaryota; Metazoa; Mollusca; Gastropoda; Neogastropoda; Columbellidae. The record is from RNAcentral.